This 1125-nucleotide long non-coding RNA is filed under the name Mus caroli (Ryukyu mouse). RNAcentral's name for it is "lncRNA (MGP_CAROLIEiJ_G0013756.1)". The stretch from base 620 to 796 matches the Rfam family "HOXA11 antisense RNA 1 conserved region 6". Lineage: Eukaryota; Metazoa; Chordata; Mammalia; Rodentia; Muridae. The record is from RNAcentral.
CUUCCUUUCUUUGUAGCCACCUCAGGGGAAGCAACAGAUCGUCACUCGGUGUUCUCACCGAAAGCACGUAAUCGCCGGUGUAACUCAUGUUGGCUGGGGGGCCUCCCCGCGCGCAGAAAGGCUGGGGUGCGCCCCCGGGCAGCUCUCCUUUGCUCAGCUACAUGGUCCUGGUCCACGAGUGCUCUGAGGGCGGCAAGAGAGCGCAACUCCUGACGCCUCCCCCCACUCCCCGGAACCCCUUCUCCUCGCUGCCUGUAGGGGUUCGGAGUGACUCCUCAGAGCCAGAGGCACUUCUGCUCACCGGUCCGCAAGCUGCCUGGUCUGCUGAAGCUGACGAAUCGGGAAACCAUGCAAUUGAGGCGAACCUUGGGCUGUUUUAGAGGCGCUGAGGAGCCUUCUCCUGGGAGGCCCAAGGUUGAUUUCAGCCCACCAGGAUCUGGGGAAGACCCAGCUAGGGAUAAGAGCACACCAAAAGGCCAAGUCCGAGUUCCAUUCCUAGAAGAGGCGGCUGCAGACAAGGCUAUGACAUUGGCCCUGGACAUUGGUUUCCCAGGAGCUGCUUUUUCUCAAGAACUCCACAGCACGGGGCUGUCUCCAGAAAACGCUCUUCAACGUUUAUUUCUUUUAAUCGUCGCCCGGAGCCCUAAGGCGGCUAAUGCAAGAGGCCAAAAAUGUUUGGAGGAAGAAAAACAAAGGCAGGAAGUGGCCGCGGCCUGACGGUGCGUGUGUGUCUGUAAAAGAGGGAGGGAGCCGGUUCAACCUCCCCUCGUUUUCCCGAACUUCAAGGUCUAGGCAGACCCCCUUAGGGCCUUGCCAAGGCUCCCCCCACACUCCCCCCCCCCCCGGCGGCGCAACGUUUGGAGGUGGCCAACGAUUUAAGCCUCGGUCGGGCUGAAAGGAGAUUUGAUCGGCAGAACAAACCAACCCUUUUCGGAGGUUUCUUUUGAUUUGGUCCUAAAGGGUAUAUACUAGUGCCCACAGCGGCUGGGGGUGGCUGCUGUUUUCCUCCCGCCGGGCUAAAAGUACCAAGAAGGGAGGGAGGGAGAGAGAUUCAGGCACCUUGCGCUGGCUGCACUCUCCUUCUGAGAUAGAAUAUCAGAAUAAAGUGUAUUCAGGUGCCUCUGC